Molecule: ribosomal RNA, 798 nt
Filed under: uncultured Bacteroidota bacterium
Lineage: Bacteria; Pseudomonadati; Bacteroidota
Description: bacterial SSU rRNA
Rfam family: Bacterial small subunit ribosomal RNA
Source: RNAcentral
AGGAGAGUUUGAUCCUGGCUCAGGAUGAACGCUAGCGGCAGGCCUAAUACAUGCAAGUCGGACGGUAAAACCCCCUUCGGGGGGUUGAGAGUGGCGCACGGGUGCGUAACGCGUAUGCAACCAGCCCCGUCCAGGCGGAUAGCCGGUGGAAACGCCGGAUAAUACGCCACGGUCCCGGGGGGGGCAUCCCUUUCCGGGUGAAGCGGAGACGCGGGACGGGACGGGCAUGCGUGCCAUUAGCUGGUUGGCGGGGCGACGGCCCACCAAGGCUACGAUGGCUAGGGGAUCUGAGAGGACGGUCCCCCACACUGGUACUGAGACACGGACCAGACUCCUGCGGGAGGCAGCAGUAAGGGAUAUUGGUCAAUGGGGGGAACCCUGAACCAGCCAUGCCGCGUGAGGGAAUGAGGCCCUACGGGUCGUGAACCUCUUUUAUUCGGGGACAACGGCGGCGUCGCGAACGCCGCGUGAGGGUACCGAAGGAAUAAGCGUCGGCUAACUCCGUGCCAGCAGCCGCGGUAAUACGGAGGACGCGUGCGUUAUCCGGAUUCAUUGGGUUUAAAGGGUGCGCAGGCGGCCGUGCAAGUCAGCGGUGAAAGCCCGGGGCUCAACCCCGGAAGUGCCGUUGAUACUGCAUGGCUGGAAUGCGGUCGAGGCGGGCGGAACGUGGCGUGUAGCGGUGAAACCCCUAGAGAUGCCACAGAACGCCGAUAGCGGUGGCAGCUCGCCAGGCCUGCCUUGACGCUCGCGCAAGGGGGCGUGGGGAUCGAACAGGAUUAGAUACCCUGGUAGUCCCCU